CAAACGGCCCAGUGUCCCAGAAAGGAGCAAGCGAGGUUACAGUGCAAGAUGCUGAGUGUCCUGGGCUCUUUAGGGCAAAAAAAAAAAAAAAACCCAAAAACCCUCGUUAGGCACUAAAGGGAGGGGCCGGCUUCCUUGAAAAUAUUCGCCAAAGCAGACAUCCAAGGUAACCGAAGAUAGAAAACAGGCCUAAAAAUAAAUCCCAGAAGGAAGACGAGAUUUGCCUACAUUUGUCUCUGAACUCUGGCAUCAUAAACCUUCACAAGGUGACUCAGAGGAGGCUGAUCACUGUGAACCCCCGAGGAGAAGGAAUCUCUGCCCCGCCCCCCCCCGCGCCGGCACACCGCACCUCUUGAGGAAAACCAUCGUUGACGUUCUUGGGAAAGAGGUGAACAGGCAGGUCCCAGCAGACACUUGGCAGUUCCUAUGA
This 430-nucleotide long non-coding RNA is filed under the name Bos mutus (wild yak). RNAcentral's name for it is "lncRNA (ENSBMUG00000006592.1)". Lineage: Eukaryota; Metazoa; Chordata; Mammalia; Artiodactyla; Bovidae. The record is from RNAcentral.